CCCUACGGGGUGCAGCAGGGCCGUCUGCUUCUGCUAUCGCCGUUUGCCACGUAUGAACGUCGCAUGACCCGGCAGACGUGUGAGCGUCGUAACAGCUUCGUUGCCGCGCUGGCGGAUCGCGUCUUUGUGUCCUAUGCGGCACCACGUGGCAUGGUCGCGCGUCUCUGUCUUUACCUUAUCGCCCAGUGCAAGUCACUGUUCACGUUUGACAGCGAGUACAACCGGAACAUCCUGGACAGAGGGGCGGUGGGCAUUUCGUGCGAUGAACAUGGACUG
Molecule: ribosomal RNA, 276 nt
Filed under: uncultured prokaryote
Description: partial 16S ribosomal RNA
Source: RNAcentral